GUGGGGCACAUAACCGGAGCAUCAGUAUACGUCUAAAUCUCAGCAUAAAAUCGUAAAGCUUGGAAGUUUAAAAGUUUAAAAAAAAUAAGUGAAAAUCAACUAGAAUGGCCAAAUUUACUCUGAUCUUCACCCUGUUGGUGGCUCUUGUUGCCAUUGUUAGUGCCCAGCACGGACAUGGCCACGGACAGCAAGGAUUCGGAGGACACGGACACGGGCAGCAAGGAUUCGGUGGACAUGGUGGACAAAAACAAGGACAGGGCUUCGGAGGUCAUGGUGCUCAAGCUUACGGAGGCGGUCACGGAGGUCAUGGCCAAGGCUUCGGAGCCGGCCACGGACACGGGCACGGACAACAGCAUGGACAUGGACAUGGUCGCGGAGGACAUUAAUCGAAGUAAAACAAAAUAAAUGUGAUUAAACCAAAAACAACA
Long non-coding RNA from Culex quinquefasciatus (southern house mosquito), 428 nucleotides. RefSeq lists it as uncharacterized. The transcript is spliced from 4 exons. The record is from RefSeq and is a predicted model, not a curated record. NCBI's taxonomy places the organism in Eukaryota, Metazoa, Arthropoda, Insecta, Diptera, Culicidae.